CUAAAUAUACGCGAAGUAAAUAAACAAUGACCGCGGAGGACAAUGCGUAACGUCCGUCAUGGGCGAACGGCGCACGUUGACUGGCGAUCGGGUGAACGAAAAUCGCUUGACAGAGACAAGAGUGCUUUGCGGAUUAACUUUUUUGAUAAGGUUGCAAAUUCUGCAAAGUUAGCAGAUUGUGAGGAAUUUCGGAAAGAUAUAUGUCAUCUAUUAAGUGUCAGAUAGGAAUCUUAUCAAUGGAUGCUACAUUUCUUUUUAUCCGGGUGCGAAGAAAACAUCGUGUAGUCUGGUUUCGUUCCCGGUUGUGGGAAUAAGGUUACCCAGAGGAUAAAAUGUGGAAGUGCUAAUGGAAGGUUCACCUCUACCUAACCCUUGGGAAAAUAGGCAUUAUGUUUUGACCUUGUAAACAUAAAGAAACCUUUAUUGUUGUGUAUAUUGAAGGCUGGUAAAAAUGGAUAUAAAGGGCGGGCCAGCUUUGUAUGUUAUUUUAAUUUCCGCUUAAUACCCAUUCAGGCUGUCCGCAAAAUUACGAGCAUUUGGACUCGUGCCAAAAUUUUGCAAACUUAAUAAAAAUAAACUUUUUUGGAAUAAGUUUCAACUUUAUGGAUUUGGUACGCCUGAGUAAAUUUCCAAGUUUCCUGUUCACUACCUAUACGAGUCGAGUUGUCAAUACCUGUUAAAAGUCCAUUCGCAGUAUUGACUCACUCAUGUGGUAUUGACAAUCAUAACUGGCUAACGGACAAUUUCCAAGCAAUACUUAGGUACGUAAGUAGUUAUUAGCAAGUAGGUAAUACUUGCUUUAUAAACUUAUUUGAAAACUUGAAAGACGCUUCAUUGUGUAUUUUCAAUUUAAUUCACUUUUUACCGUCCAUUUGAUAGACAAUGUACCUAGUCAAAUACUUAUUUUUCAAACAUCAAAAUUAAACCGACUUCCAAAAACACUAAAAAGCAAAAAAAAAAAAUAAUUUUA
Molecule: long non-coding RNA, 970 nt
Filed under: Helicoverpa zea (corn earworm)
Lineage: Eukaryota; Metazoa; Arthropoda; Insecta; Lepidoptera; Noctuidae
Description: uncharacterized LOC124640437, transcript variant X1
Source: RNAcentral